UGUAUAUGUAUGCAUAUGUAUGUAUGUAUAUAUGUAUAUAUUUCUUUUUUUUUCUUUUUAAAUCCCAGAUUGGGAAUUGGCUGCUCCAAUGCUAUACAAAUUCUAGUUUUUCUGAGCUCCACACACUGCAUCCUCUCCCUCAAAAAGAAGUACAAGUUUAUGGGGUGCCUGUGUGGCUCAGUCGGUUGAACGUCCGACUUCGGCUCAGGUCAUGAUCUCACAGUUUGUGAGUUUGAGCCCCACGUCGGGCUCUGUGCUUACAGCUAGGAGCCUGGAUCCUGCUUCAGAUUCUGUGUCUCCCUCUCUCUCUGCUCCUUCCCCAUUCAUGCUCUGUCUCUCUCUGUCUCUCAAAAAUUUAAAAAAACGUUAAAAAAAUUAAAAAGUACAAGUUUUAUUUUUUUGACUUAUCCUUGUCACCUUUAGACUUAAUUCCAGGACAUUUCUCUAGAAGAUUUAAAAGAAAGAAAAUUACUCAUGCAACAUUGUGCAAAUCAUUUUGUCUCUAAUUUCCACUUCUUCACCUCUAAAAUAGAAAUCAUUUGAAAUCUGCCCUGCCUUUCUUUGAAAAUUAAUGAGGAUCAGAUAAAAUGAUGUAUGCAAAAGUGCAUUUUUUUUUUCAUUUUAAAGCACUCUGUGAAAUGAAGUUCUUAUCAAGUAACAAUGGGUGUAAAUUUUUGUUGGAUAUAAAUAUAUCCACAGGAGUUUACUGUUUCUUUCUUGUGGAACUCCACUAAAAGGAAAGUAAAGAAUUUAAAAGGUAUGAACAUACAAGGACAAAGAACAAGAAAAAAAGACAAUAGCAAUUGAGUGAGUCUAGUAAGUUUCUUAGGAGAUGGAAAGCAAACAAGGAAGAGUGGACAUGACAGCAUAAUAGAAGCUUCAAACUGAGUUACAAAAUCCUCAGAGGACCAAGGCAGAAGACGGGUGUCACAGUGUGCUGCAGAGCUGAACUGCGGGAGACGGAGUCAAAGUUUGUGUACAAAACAGCCUGAACCCUCAUGUCUUUUCUCCCAGCCUGUGAAGUCCUUUGUGGUUGGUUAAAGAUGGCUGCAAGUUAGCUGACACUUCUCUCAUCGGGAGGUAGGGAUCCUCCCCCUCCUUGAAUCUGCUUUGACCAAUUGAAUAUGGUAGGAGUGGCACUGUAUAGGUUUUCAGGCCCAGCCUUAAGAAACUGGGAGAUUUGACUUUCUUUAUCUUGGAACACUUGCUCUUGAAACCCAACCUCUAUGCUCUCAGAAGCUUAAGACACUUAAGCUUAAGAGACUAUUUGAAACUAAGCUUUCAGCUAUAACCAGCAUCUACUGGCAGCCAUGUGAGUGAGUCAUUCUCACUCACAGGUGCUAUCUGACUGUAACAGCAUGAGAAACCUCUACCCACGUAAGAACCAUUCAGCUGAGUUCAGUCAACUCACAGAACCAUAAAAGGUAGUAAUAAGAAGAAGAAAUUAAGCCACUUAGUUUUUCAUGCAACAAUAGACAAGUAGAACACCAGGUCACACCAGGCAACCAUAACCUCAUCUGCCCUAACUUGAACACUGAAAAAGGUCUAUUCUUUCAAACCAGAAAUCCUUGAAUUUCAAGACCAUCAGGCCAACUAAAGACAGAAGUGAGGCAUGGAGGGGUGUCUGGGUGGCUCAGUCGGUUGAGCGUCAGACUUCGGCUCAGGUCAUGAUCUCAUGGUUUGUGAGUUCGAGCCGACGUUGGGCUUUGCACUGACAGUGCAAAGCCUGCUUUGGAUUCUCUCUCUCCCUCUCUUCUCCCCCUCACUGCUCACAUGUACUCUCUCUCUCUCUCUCUCUCUCUCAAAAAUAAAUAAACAUUAAAAAAAAAGAAAUGAGGUAGAGCUAGUAAAUGAAAGUCUUCACUCUGAACAAAGAGUUCACCCAGCCUUUUUCUUUCACCCUCAUAAAAGACUAGUAGCUCCCCCCCCCCAAAAAAAAUGUAUAGUGGAUUCUUCUCUCAGGAAACAUAAUGGCCCCAGAAAAAAGAUAAUUAAAUAUUGACAUUUGGGAACUUUCCCAAUUAAAAGGUUGCCUCACCACCAGAUUAGGUUGCAGAGAAGGAUACCAGUUUAAUAACCUUCCCACACAUAGAUCUUCCCAACUGGCUUAUUUGGAGCUCUUAAACGUAACAAACCACUAAGAAUCAUCAAUAUCUUAGGAAAGCCAGAAAUUAAUACACACACAUACACGUACACAUCUAAGAGAGCCAGAGUUAGAGACAGUAAAGAGAAUAGGAAGUGGGAAAACUGACAAGAAAAAAAGUUACAUCCAUGAAACAAAACAACAUUAUUUUAUUUUUUUAAGUAGGCUCUACACCAGAUGUGGGGCUCAAACUCAUGACCCCAAAAUCAAGAGUCAUAUGCUCUACCAACUGAGCCAACUAGGCACCCCAGAAUAUUAUUUUAAAACAGAGGGAAGAACAACAAGCAGAGACUCUUUAGAAACAACAACAGACAUGACUGACCAAAUUUAAAAUUCAUGAAAAGAUAUAUUAUUUUACUAUGCUGUAAAACAGAUUACCAUAAACUUAGUGGCUUAAAACAACACAUAUUUAUUAUCUCACACUUUCUGUGGAUCAGGAGUCUGAGCACAGCUUAGCUGGGUCCCCUGUUCACGGUCUCACAAGGCAAUAAUCCAUGUAUCAGCCGGGACUGGGUUCUCACCAGAAGCUAGAGUGGGGAAAGAUCCACUUCUAAACUCCUUCAAGUUGUCACAAAAUUCAUCUCCUUGCAGCUGUAGAUUCUUGGCAGCUUGCUUCUAUAGAGCUAGCAAUGGAGAGAGGGUCCCUAGCAAGAUGGGAGCUACACUUUUAUGCAAUCACAUUCACAUGAUGAUCACAUGCAUCCUAGCCCCUGUGUCACAUUCAUUUCAUUUAUUAGAAAUUUUUCCAGGUCCCAGCCACACUAAAGAGAAGGGUAUCAUGCAAAGAAUACCAGGAAGUGGUAUCCUUGGGAGAAUCACUUAACACAUCAUGGAGACCACUUACAAAUCUUCUACAGAAGCGUUGUGAUAUUGCAUUCAAAAAAUCAUUAAAAAAUGAGAAUCUAUGGAAAUACCAAUGUGUUGUGAACCUGAACAGACAAAUAUAACAUUGUAUGACAAUUAUACUUCAGUAAUUUUUUAAAGCUAUGGAAAUAGAAGUGAAAACAUAAAAAACUAAGAAGAAUGGACUAGGAGGUCUAAUACCUGACUAAUAAGAUUUCUAAAAGGAGAGAUUAGAGUAAAACUGUGGAGAAAAAAAAUUUUGAAAGAAAUAAUAUAAGAAGAUGAGGUCCCAGAACUAAAGGGCAUGAUUCUACAGAUUAAAGGGUCCAUUGAGUGCCUAUCAAACUUAAGAAGAAAUCCAACAUCAUUGUGAGUUUUAAGAACACAAGAGAUGAAGGUCCUAACGGUUUCCAGAGAGAAAAAUUAGAAUUCCAUUGAACUUCUUAACAGCAAUCAGAACAUAGAACAUAAUGGAAGAAUACCUUAAAAAUUCUGAGUGCUUUACAGUAAAAUUCUAUGCUUAUCUACUCUAUAAGUGAGGAGAACCUAGAGACAUUCUAAGAUGUAUAAGGACUCAAACAGAGAGGUUUCAAAUGAAGAACAACCAGUUCAUACUGAAGCAGGUUCCAAUGAGCAGAUAUACCACACUGGAUCUGCAGGCUUAAGCAACCAACCUUAGCCAGCAACCAUUCAUAGGAACUCAUAACUCCUGUGGAGCAUGGAGAGGGUGUCAUCUGGUUCUCAGGCAGCUGGGUUGCAGUUUCCUCUGGAAUGUGGACAAACUCAGUGACUUGCUUUUGACCAAUAGGAAAAGUGAAAGUAAAGGUCUAUGGCUUUGGAGGCUAAGUCAUAAAAGGUACCGUGGCUUCUUCCUUGCUCUCUCUUGGAUUGCUCACUCUGGAGGAAGUUACCAUGUUUUGAAGACAGGUCCACCUUGUGAGGAGCUGAGGACUCCAGCCAAGAGCCAGGAAAACUCCAGAUACCCACUACUUUUUACCUGGUCCCGUGCAGAAUGCUGUGGGUUUUAUAUUCUAACUGAAGCCACUGUACUCGCUAUGGCAGAAACUGACAAUGAAAUAAGAGACAAGUGAAACCAAGAAGAUAGGAGCUACUUGCUGGCGAAUUAGUAGAACAUAAAGGCUCGUGUUGUAUGUGUUGCAAGACCCUAACCACAACCUCUCUAUUCAGAAGACCAGCCAAGCUAAGUCAGACUGUGGCCCACAUUUCAGGGGACAUGAGGGACACCACCAGGUAGUUAAGUAUCUCAGGAACUCUCUGCUCAUUGGAGGAAUUUUUGUUGAAGUGAAUGAUUAUAUAUAAUUUUUGAGGUCAACAUGAAACAAGUUAGAAAGUAAUCAAUGUUCACUGAGGAGCAUUACUGAGAGACAGCCGGUUUAUAGGUUUUUGAUUGUGGUGCAAGAUGUGCACUCGUUCCCGUGUGAGUGGGAUUUGGGAUUUAAUUUCAGAACCACCUUGUAAUAUAUCUGGUGCCAUAUAAUGUUACUAACUUCCCCCAAUAUCAUCAUUACUAAUAAGAGCUAUCUAUAUUUUGAACCCUUAGCACACACGGCCUUGUGCUAAAUUCUGACCAUAUUUUAGAAUUUCUUCUACAUAGAAGAUGCUCAUAGUAGAGCAUGAGGUGGAUAAUAUUGUCUUCGUUUCAUCAGUUAAGGAAUCCAGAAGAGUUAGGAGUCUGUUCAGGGUCACACAGCUACUCAGUUGGAGAGCCAGGGUUUGGCACCAGUCCUACCUAGCCCCCAAACAUGUCUUUAACCACUGUUCUAUGGGCACUCUGCACAGUAUUUAACAAGGGACAGAUGGACUUGUUUCUAACACAAGUCAGUUUGAAGAAUAUUGUAAGUCAAAUGAUUAUCUAGUUUGUAUCUUCAUGUUCACAUGCGAAGGAAAAAACUUCUGUUGUCCCAGGAAUUACUGUUGUGCUUUGCAUUUCUAAGAGCAUAUGUUAAAACUGAAGAAAAUUCCUUGCAGAUGUAAGACAUGUCUGGUAACACUUGCCUGAUCGGUCCUUUCAGUUGGAUGCCAUAGCGACUUGCCCUACCCACCCCACCCCCACUUCUCUUUACAUAAAAGGGCUGGGUUUUCCUAUCUGUCCUUCUACUCUAGGACAUGCUGCACAGCUUUGCUGUUGACAAGCAUUUCUUGGUAAAGGGUUCUGUGGCGUAAAAUUUCUUAGCCUUCUACCACUUGUAAUACAUAAACAUUAAGAUGGAGGGCUUCAGUUUAGAAGACAAGCAGGCAGCGCUCAUUCAAAGAUGUGGGGACAUAGUAGGUUCCUAUCUUCUCUGUGUAACCAUUCAGAUAAAGACUGUGUUAGCCAAGUAGGAUUUCCUAUGGAUCGUGGGUUACCAAAACAUUUUCAUUCAAAAUGGACUUUUAAGAAAAUAGGAAACCUGUGAAAUUACAAAGGUUACAAAAGACUUUAAUUCCUACAAUGACCUGAGGGUUAAACACACACACACACACACACACACACACACACACACACACACACCCCAUAACUAUGUUCUAAAGAAUGCUUCAAUAAUUCGUUAAUACUAACAAUUGAAGGGUGCAAUUUAUUCAGUGAUAGCCAUCAAAUCACCUACUGUUGCAGACAUGGGUGUACCAGGGAGGAGAUGAGACUAGUUUCUUAAGAUCUUUCCCUAGUUCCUUUGAAAUGUUCAUCUCUUCAAGUCUCUCAGCGCCCCCCACCCACCUCCAAAAAAAAAAAAAAAAAAAAAAAGAAAGAAAGAAAAAGAAAAAAUUAGAGAAGAAAAGGAAGGGGUGUGGGGCUGGAAAGUCCAGGGGUGAAAGAAGACUCCUCACCCUGUGAUUGGGGUUAUCUUAACCUCUUCUCUGCUAUUUAUUUAACUUGUGUGUACAGCCAGAAGGAAGCCACUCCUCUGGGGUCCCUGGACAGCUUAAAUCCCCGUGACCCACUUAACACAAUAGAUUGUUUUAAUCAACUCGUGUCCUGGCACCAUCUCGAAGGGGAACAUAAACAGACGCGCGCACCGCUCGGAUCUGCUUUUUCCAGCAGGAGAUCCAAUUACCUGCCAGUGGUCGUCUCUCUGCCCUUGUAGCCUUUAAAGAGAGAUUUUAACCCCUAACGUCUAAAAGAGCUGGGAUUCAAAGUCGACAGAGGAGGAGAAGGCGACAGCCGGAUUCUACCCUGGGACCCAUUCAGACCAGCUCUGGGAGCGCGGGAAAGGCUUCACUGCAAAAAAUUGGUCACCUCCUGUCUGCCCCCUGCCUCGCCCAGGGACCGUGGCCAGGGCCCGCCGCGGGGAAACACCAGGCUGGGGCGCUCCCAAGGUGCAGCCGGGACCCGAAGACAAUGCCAAGCCAGAGCGGUGGCGCUUCCCGUUCUCCAAACCUUAAGCCUACAAACAGCACUGGCCGGCGAGGUGACAGUACCUCUGCCCCUCCGCCCCGGGUCUUGCAAGGGAGUCAGCAAGACGGCGACAGGGAACGGGGAGCACCUGGACAUCUGAGCCGCCAGUCCCGCAUCGUCCGUGGCUAACGAGACGCAGCGGGGCGAGGCGGGGCACUCUAGAACACAAAUUAAGGGGAACGGGACCCUGCGGGUUAGCUCUGCCCGGCUCCUGGACGUUCGCGGUUCAGCCAAGGGGCGCGCAAGGCGCGGAGGAGCCUAGAAGAGAGCACCGAGCGCCCACGCGUGCGUGGCCAGCAAGUGGAUGUGUGUGGUGUGUGCGGUAUGAGCACCGCGGGCUCUCUGUACUCCGCGUCCCGGAUCGCGCACGGCACUGAAGCUGACCCGUUACCCAACGCUCGG
Molecule: long non-coding RNA, 6782 nt
Organism: Panthera uncia (snow leopard)
Lineage: Eukaryota; Metazoa; Chordata; Mammalia; Carnivora; Felidae
Exons: 4
Source: RefSeq, a predicted model, not a curated record